CGCGGUGAAUACGUUCCCGGGUCUUGUACACACCGCCCGUCACACCAUGGGAGUCAGUAACGCCCGAAGUCAGUGACCCAACCGUAAGGAGGGAGCUGCCGAAGGUGGGGCCGAUAACUGGGGUGAAGUCGUAACAAGGUAGCCGUAUCGGAAGGUGCGGCUGGAUCACCUCCUUUCUAAGGAA
Molecule: ribosomal RNA, 184 nt
Filed under: Ruminococcus sp. AF25-3LB
Lineage: Bacteria; Bacillati; Bacillota; Clostridia; Eubacteriales; Oscillospiraceae
Description: partial 16S ribosomal RNA
Rfam family: Bacterial small subunit ribosomal RNA
Source: RNAcentral